AUGGGACUGGUUUUCACUUGCAUAAAGAAAAAAAAGGUUAAAAAUGAGAAAUUCCCUUUUCUAUGUACAACAUAUUGACUGUAAUUUCCUUCAACUUUUUUUUUUUUCUAAUGAUGAAGAGUAUGAAUGUAGCUGCAUCAAGAAGCAGAUUUUGCAUAGCUUCUCAGUUCAGGAACACCACUGUACAUGAAUUUGCAAGCUGACUGUACAUACCGACCUGCCCUAGAGGCUGCUUUUGGCAAAUAAUUGGCAACCUUGCUCCAGAUUUACAGGAAUGAGAAAGGUACAUGGAUGUUGUAGCAAACCACGAGCAGUCCAAAGAAGAAUCAGUAUCUCUUAACAGCAUUCGACCUUUUUUAAGAGCUGCAGCUGACCCUUUUUUAUCGCUGCUAACUACAUUUGGUAUCUGUAAAAGAUUAGGAUAGGAGGCACUUGUAGCUUCUUUGUGAUAUAGUGUCUCUAAGCUUUCAACUGGUAUCUCUUCCUCUGCCUCCAUUUCAUUGGUCCUUUCCUUAUUUUUGAUUUUACUUAGAAUCCUUUUUGCCUCCUUGGUCAAUCCAGUGGGACGCCAAGCUUCUGCAAGAAGCAAGAAGGUGGAUUUCUGAGGGUGGACUCCAAAUGCUUUCAUGAUUUGGAGUAUUUCUUCAGCUCUCCAUGGUUGCUUGGCUUCGUUGUAUCCCCACAUUAGGGUCUCAAAAGUCUUCAAAUUGGGAGAAACCCCAUGUUCACACAUCUUGUCAAUUAACUAAAAAGCUGCAUCUAUGCUUUUACGUUUGCAUUCCUCUGUACAAGAAAAAUUUUCCCCUUUAGCUUCUAAAUGAAGCCGUGUUUUAAAACUCACAGCUCAGUAUUGUUUAUGUUAAGUUUUCUACCCCGAAUAUUUUCAUAGUCACGUUUUCAAGGGAAAAAGCCGGCCUUUUAUUUGCACAACUAAACGUUUUUUCGAAGACAGAAAAAGUAAAUCAGGAUGUUUAUAACGUGGGAUGGCAGAAACAAUGCGCAUUUUUGGUACAGAAAAUAUCAGCAGAUACAUGGGCUGGGAUGGCGAUGGGACUGGUUUUCACUUGCAUAAAGAAAAAAAAGGUUAAAAAUGAGAAAUUCCCUUUUCUAUGUACAACAUAUUGACUGUAAUUUCCUUCAACUUUUUUUUUUUUCUAAUGAUGAAGAGUAUGAAUGUAGCUGCAUCAAGAAGCAGAUUUUGCAUAGCUUCUCAGUUCAGGAACACCACUGUACAUGAAUUUGCAAGCUGACUGUACAUACCGACCUGCCCUAGAGGCUGCUUUUGGCAAAUAAUUGGCAACCUUGCUCCAGAUUUACAGGAAUGAGAAAGGUACAUGGAUGUUGUAGCAAACCACGAGCACUCCAAAGAAGAAUCAGCAUCUCUUAACAGCAUUCGACCUUUUUUAAGAGCUGCAGCUGACCCUUUUUUAUCGCUGCUAACUACAUUUGG
Molecule: long non-coding RNA, 1450 nt
Filed under: Citrus sinensis (sweet orange)
Lineage: Eukaryota; Viridiplantae; Streptophyta; Magnoliopsida; Sapindales; Rutaceae
Description: long non-coding RNA (CSIN_LNC001843)
Source: RNAcentral